UAGGGAAUCUUCGGCAAUGGACGAAAGUCUGACCGAGCAACGCCGCGUGAGUGAAGAAGGUUUUCGGAUCGUAAAACUCUGUUGUUAGAGAAGAACAAGUGGGAGAGUAACUGUUCCCACCUUGACGGUAUCUAACCAGAAAGCCACGGCUAACUACGUGCCAGCAGCCGCGGUAAUACGUAGGUGGCAAGCGUUGUCCGGAUUUAUUGGGCGUAAAGCGAGCGCAGGUGGUUCUUUAAGUCUGAUGUGAAAGCCCCCGGCUCAACCGGGGAGGGUCAUUGGAAACUGGGGAACUUGAGUGCAGAAGAGGAGAGUGGAAUUCCAUGUGUAGCGGUGAAAUGCGUAGAUAUAUGGAGGAACACCAGUGGCGAAGGCGACUCUCUGGUCUGUAACUGACACUGAGGCUCGAAAGCGUGGGGAGCAAACA
Molecule: ribosomal RNA, 427 nt
Filed under: uncultured bacterium
Lineage: Bacteria
Also listed under: 1 other name
Description: partial 16S ribosomal RNA
Rfam family: Bacterial small subunit ribosomal RNA
Source: RNAcentral